UACGUAGGUCCCGAGCGUUAUCCGGAAUUAUUGGGCGUAAAGAGCAUGUAGGCGGUUAAUUAAGUCUGGUGUGAAAUCUAGUGGCUCAACCACUAAAUUGCAUUGGAAACUGAUUAACUAGAAUACUGGAGAGGCAAGUGGAAUUCCAUGUGUAGCGGUGGAAUGCGUAGAUAUAUGGAGGAACACCAAUGGCGAAGGCAGCUUGCUGGACAGAGAUUGACGCUGAGAUGCGAAAGUGUGGGGAGCAAACAGG
Molecule: ribosomal RNA, 253 nt
Filed under: uncultured bacterium
Lineage: Bacteria
Description: partial 16S ribosomal RNA
Rfam family: Bacterial small subunit ribosomal RNA
Source: RNAcentral